GUCUAUAAGAUAACUGAAGGUUACAAUAGAAAAAUCCAGAUGUUAGCCUGAAAGCUAGCAAAAACAUGGGAAAAUAAGGUAGGAAGGAAGCUUGUUAAAAAUGAGAAUAAAAUGACGAGUAAAUUAAUUACAAAAAAAAAAGAAAGAAAAAAGAAAAAGAACAAAAUACAUUUCUAGAAGUAGCUUUAAAAAAGAAAGACCGUAGCAACGUAAAUAAAUGAAACUAGGGGAACUUCAGGCAGCAGCCAGGGCUACAAGUGUAAACACAGUCUAGGAAUUCACACAAGAAUGAUGUGAACUGAUCAGAUUUCUUUAUGACAAACUGACAUAGCAUACACACACUGUGGCUAUUUUUAGCCACUGUCGAUCUUUCCUGUUUUUCUGUGGACAAAUGUGUUCCUGACACUGUUGGGUUUAAGAAAUAAAAGUUAUUGCAGCGCUUUUGAAACUGAUGCAAGAACGAUCAAGCUUCACAAUACGACGGAUGACAUGAGGAACCAGUUGGCAGAGACGGAGAAGUCGAUGAAAAAAAAAAUCAAUCUUCAACCUCUGCCUUCUCCUCUUCCCUCUCCUCGCCCAUCUUGUGCCUUCUCUACUUGAUCGGACACGCAUACGACACGUAUGACAUCGAUAUGUGUACAAUCACAAACUCUCUCUACUUCUACACAUGGACAUUGAACGCCUGACCAUUAUUGUCCCUUGCAGUCAAUCAAUGAUGGCCACACCAUGUGGUGUUCAUCACUUCCUGGAAUCUAUCAUGUGGCACACUCACCGAUUUCUUCAGAUGAUUUUUUACAUAUUUUAAACCAUCGUCCAAAUGAUCGAUUGUAAACAAAAUAAAUAAAAACAAACUUGUGGUUGACUGCACAGAAAACUGAUAAAUAAGUAAAUAAAAACAAACUGAUGCCGUCUGUACAGUAAAUGAGACCAUUUCUAUUUUGGCCAUACUUUCAUUAUUCUCAUGUAACAUGAUGUAGAUUGUGGAUAAGAAAUUGUAUCUAGACCUGAGGCUGUGAUCAAUACAGUUUGUGCUACGAUUGAUCUCAGUUUCAGCGUAGCUAAAUUUAGGCGCUGAAGCACUUUUAUCAAGAAGACAUUCCACUUGUAUGGUCACACCUAAAAAAACACAUUCAGGGAAAUAAUAAUAAUUAUAAAAAAGUGUACACCAUUACAAUAAAAUGCCAGUUUAUGCAAAAUUUAAAACAUUUAAAUCAGUUGGUCAACAGUAGUAAACAGGCCCGAGUAAGUUACUGAGUACAGUUACAGGGUGACUGACAGAGAUUAGAUUUUAGAGAAAUUAGAGAAUUAUCAUAUUGUUUAUUAGCAUUACUUUUAUUAUACUUUAGGGUCAAAUGCAGUUUCGUUUGUUUGUCUUGUUUUCUUCUAAGGGAAGGGAAUAUAAACGUCAUUUAAAAAAAACACUGUCGUUUUAUGAUGUUUAAAACAGCGCCCCUCUAAAUGUUACGUGGUGAAUCGGCGUUCAAAACGUGGUACUGCACCCUGUCGUCUGAGGUGAGGCCGGGCUGAGUUUGCUUGGUUCCCUUGGACAUUUUCCCCACGCCACCCUCUGGUCAAAUGAGACUGCAGCAAUUAAUGGGAAGCACUGCACACUAGUUACUGGGUUUAGUUUCCCCCCAGUUUGUCCCAGAAAUGUCCCUGAGCAGCUGGAGAAGAAUGUGGAGGAAAGAGAAACUACUGGCAGGAGGAAGAAGAGGAACAAAAGGAAUAUCAGGAGACUUCAUGAUGCUCUGUCAACAGCAGCUUAGCCUGAUGCUAACGUGUGAGUGACUUCCUGGAGCGAGCUGCAGAGGAAACAUGGAGUUCCAUCUCCUCAGUCUUUGAGGUCCACUUGACAUUGGGCCAGAGGCGAUGUACAGCCCGGACAGGUGGUCAGUCCAUAACGAGGACAGCCCCCAGAGAUAAGCAAGUUACAUCUACAGCUGUGGUGAGUUUCAAAUCAGAUACACAUUUUUAACCUGCUUGUUUUUUUUCUUCACCGACGUAUCUCUUAUCCACACACAUGCUCCCUAAAUCGGUUUGGAGUGGUAACAACGUAGAAUCUACAGAGACAGACACGGUUUUAAAUCAAUGGCUAAACGUUUUGUUAUGCUGUCAGUAUUUCCCAGCGUCUUCGUUGUCAAAGCUGUUCAUUUUUGCAUGAUACCGCCAUCUGUCUUGGAGUUGUUUCCAACUGAAAUGUGUUUCCCUUGAAAGUCACCUUGGGGCGGUGGUUCCCAAACUGGGGGUGGCAAAAUCAUUCAUCCAAAGUAAUUUUACUUUUUUUGUUUUUAAUUUGGUGCAUGGUGGGAAAGUUGCAUGAUUCAUGAUUUCUAGUUACAUUCCUUUUGGAAACUGUAUCAGUUGUGUAGGAUUUGAUGGAUCGAUGUGGGCGCAACAACAAAAGGGAGUGCCUUAGAAAAUGUAGGAAAUAAAUAUUAGAUAAUCUAUGGUAUAAUUGGUCAAUGUACAUGACGAUGAAUGCGCUGUGUCAUGUUGUACCAGUUUAUAUAACAGGUGUUUCAGUGAAAUGUGAUGGUAGCUUUAGCUUAGCCCCUUUCUUCCCUGUAUCACAUAAAUCAAAGCCCUGAGGUUUGUGGGUUUUAACAUGGUUUAAAUCACAUUAGAUUCACACUGUUGAAGAUCAUUUAGACAUAACAACACAAAGGAGCCUGUAAGUACUCGGUGAUCCUUCAUCGGCCCUGGUGGCUCAUUAAUCUGACUCCACAUGAUUAUGACAAUCAUUUGAUUAUCAUGUCCAUAUAAAUUGCUAUCUUAAUCUUUGCUAAUCUAAGGUUUUAAGUCCUGACCCGCGGUGGAAACAAUGGCCUGCUGGGAACAGCUACACACCAGAGCUGAUUAUGAAGCCAGUCUGUUACAGUGUGUUGCUGAAUAUGUUUGAAAUUCUUGUUGAAUCCUUAUUUGAGAGGUUUGCGCCUGUUUGGUCGGAUGGGUGUGAAAUAUGUGUUCGUUUUCGUCCAAUUUAACAAGUGGCAUAUGAUUUUUGUUUUUCAUGUAUGCAGUAUAGAUCAGAUUUUUCACUCAUCUAUCACAAUAAAAUACCCUAAUUAGUCAGACAACUAGUCAAUGAGAUAAAAAUAUUAUCUUGGAGUAGAUAUAAACAGAUACCUCAGGGU
This is a long non-coding RNA of Cynoglossus semilaevis (tongue sole), 3134 nucleotides long. RefSeq lists it as uncharacterized. The transcript is spliced from 3 exons. Lineage: Eukaryota; Metazoa; Chordata; Actinopteri; Pleuronectiformes; Cynoglossidae. The record is from RefSeq and is a predicted model, not a curated record.